CCAUUAAUACCCCCGAAAACACCGACCAUUAAACAAACAAACCAUUUUUCCACCCAAGUAUGGGCGACAGAAAAGGAACUCAGGCGCCAUAGAAAAAGUACCGCAAGGGAAUGCUGAAAAAGAAGUGAAAUAAACCAGUAAAGUUGAAAAAAGCAGAGACUUACACUCGUACCUUUUGCAUCAUGAUUUAGUUAGUAAAGCCCAAGCAAAAAGCACUUUAGUUUGACUCCCCGAAACUAAGUGAGCUACUCCAAGACAGUCUAAAAACAGGACCAACCCGUCUCUGUGGCAAAAGAGUGGGAUGAGCUUUGAGUAGAGGUGACAAACCUACCGAACUUAGUUAUAGCUGGUUACCUGAGAAAUGAAUAAAAGUUCAGCUUCCUGAUUUCUCUACUCAAUACUAACUCUUCUAUCGCUGACUUAAAGAAAUCAAGAAAGUUAAUUAAAGGGGGUACAGCCCCUUUAAACAGGAUACAACUUCACCAGACGGGUAAAGAUCAUAACCACCAAGGCAAAAUGUUUUAGUAGGCUUGAAAGCAGCCACCUACAAGAAAGCGUUAAAGCUCCUUCAUGCCACCACCCCCAAAUCCAGACAACAUAUCUAAACCCACUAGUUUUAUCAGGUCGCCCCAUGUAAUUAUGGGGGCGUUCAUGCUAAUAUGAGUAAUAAGAAAAGUCAGCUUUUCUCCCUGCAUGCCUGUAAAUCGAAACGGACCCCCCACCGAAUCUUAUCGGCCCCAAAAAAAGAGGGCAGUGACCUAAAACCUUAACAACAAGAAAACCCCCCAAAUACCCACCGUUAACUCCACACUGAUAUGCUAACAAGGAAAGACUAAAAGAAAUAGAAGGAACUCGGCAAAUACAAGCCUCGCCUGUUUACCAAAAACACCGCCUCUUGCAAAUUAAAAAAUAAGAGGUCA
RNAcentral lists this ribosomal RNA (920 nucleotides) under Betta foerschi. RNAcentral's name for it is "partial 16S ribosomal RNA". The stretch from base 151 to 920 matches the Rfam family "Bacterial large subunit ribosomal RNA", at positions 568 to 1847 of the family's 2925-position model. The record is from RNAcentral. Lineage: Eukaryota; Metazoa; Chordata; Actinopteri; Anabantiformes; Osphronemidae.